GCCUGGUCCAAUGGUAGUGGGUUAUCAGAACUUAUUAGUGGCAAUAACGUUGCUACUCAACCCCCCUCUGAUAAAUUUGACUGGCUUAA
This is an unclassified non-coding RNA of Gorilla gorilla gorilla (western lowland gorilla), 89 nucleotides long. It matches the Rfam family "Y RNA". From Rfam's summary of the family: Y RNAs are components of the Ro ribonucleoprotein particle (Ro RNP), in association with Ro60 and La proteins. The Y RNAs and Ro60 and La proteins are well conserved, but the function of the Ro RNP is not known. The record is from Ensembl. Lineage: Eukaryota; Metazoa; Chordata; Mammalia; Primates; Hominidae.